UGCGUGAACUGCGGUACAGAGUUGAGAUGAGUCUGGAUCUUUUCAUUCGGUUGAGAGAGGACUUGAAGGUUUUUAGUGCUAUUAUGCUAUCUUGGGCGGAAAUUUGGGAGAAGGUGGCUGUGUCCUGCAAUAUUUCCAAGAUUUUGGCGUGGUACGAAGAUCGGUCCAAGAUUACGGUGUCAGUGCCCUUAUCUGAUCUGCUGAUGACUAUUGAACAUUGUUUCAUUAGUCUGCGGAGGGCCUUGGAUUCAGUUUGGGAAUUUGGCCUUUGCCUUACACAAUCCGAUAGUAAUAUAGGAAUAAUGAAUUAUCCUAUUUAAUUCUUAAUGAACCCUAUAGUCCUGCAGUAUAAAAUAUUAAGGAAAUAGAGCAGGAGUUUAUGUACAAAAUUGAAUUGUGACAUUUGUACAUAUGUACAUAGUCGCCAGUUCCAGGGGAUCUCGAGGCUGCUUCCUCAGCUCUGCAAGUGGACUUUUAGGGUACUCCAGCUGCGUUAGAUUCUCCUUCUGGACAGCAAAAACUUCGGAAAGGUUACUGUGCAUAUUAUUUAUGAUGUUUACAUCAUUGUUGGGUUGUUAUGGUAAAAUGGACCCAACAUAUUUAUGGUAAUAUCCUCAUAGUACAAAUAUUGAGGUGUGAUGUAUUUUUUGGAAUAUUUAUGGUAAUGUCCUCAUACUACAAACAUUGAGGUCUGAUGUAUUAUUUGGAAUAUUUAUGGUAAUGUCCUCAUAGUACAAAUAUUGAGAGAUCUGAUGUAUUAUUUGGAAUAUUUAUGGUAAUGUCCUCAUAGUACAAAUAUUGAGAUCUGAUGUAUUAUUUGGAAUAUUUAUGGUAAUGUCCUCAUAGUACAAAUAUUGAGAUCUGAUGUAUCAUUUGGAAUAUUUAUGGUAAUGUCUUCAUAGUACAAAUAAUGAGAUGCCUAAAGCAUGCCUGUGUGCCAUAGUACAUUCAGCCCAGACAAUAAAUUUGCAUUGUCUAAGAACUUCGCCCAUUGCUGAAUCAGCAUUCAAAUUACAAACUGGUACCUCAUCCCUGGUCAAAUUUAAGGUAAUUUGAAAGUCGAAUGAGCUGUUGCUGGCAAAGGGCAAAAAAUUCUGUCAACGGGGUCUUAGGUGGACGGUGAGCCCGUAGUGCAGCAUUAGCAGAAGUAAAAUAUACACGCUGCCCAUUUUCCAAAUGUACAGAGAUAUGUUGAACCAUUGGAUGGCGUCUGUGAAUAGGGAAUCCCAGAAUGCGCCAAACAGCUUCAUUGCUACUAAUAUAUCGACCACGUUGGUACUCUAGCACUUCAUUAGACUCUGUUUGAGCACCAGUAACUGCAAAAAUUGAUUGGUCUGAACCCUUGUAUAUGUAUUUGCAGAUAUAUUUUAUAGCAGAGAUUGAAGCACAGGACUCCACAUUGAUGUGAGCAUCAAAUAGUCUGCAUAGAAGAGGCGAAUAUGGCACAACAUACCUAUUAUCAAUGGUAACAUUAUUCAUGCGCACAACCUGAACACCAUUCUCAAUGGUGAAAACUCUCACUCUUUUAACAAAAGAAAAGCCACCUUCCUCAGGCCUGCGACGUCUGUACAAUGGGUAGCCAUCCCUAUCUGUCUGUGUUUCAGCCAAGAGUAGCCGUGGAUAUUUCUUUUGGCAUCUACCCCGUUCCAUGCAGCCAGGAUUAGGAUACCCAUGUCCACAUGGCCCAUGAAUCAUAUUUUUGGUUACAGUCCGAAACAGUGAAGCAUCAACCUCCUCAUUGGGGAUUUCAGCACAAAUGAUCGAAUCAAUCUGGUUUGGGCGAAUCUUUUCUUUAAGCCACAAUAAAAUGUGCGCAUGUGGUAGGCCUAGCCUUUGCCAUUCAAUGGUAUAACACCAACAUUGGGGCGCGCGCGCGCUUGCCAAAAACAUAACUCUUGGUGAUCAAAUCUAUAUAAGCUUGGCAACUUUCAAUUGAAAAAUGCGAGCAACCAAGUCAUGCCGAACAAAUGCACCUUGGGUGGGGAAUUGCAUUAGUUUUAUCUCAGGCCACUCAGGAUUGCGAGUUAGCAAAUAAAAAAAAAAUUCAAAACGUAUUAUAUAGGCAAGGCCAUACCUCUGCAAAAGUUUAAUAUAUUAUACCAAAAAAAAAAAAACCUGCAAAAUGCGACAGGAAGUCGCUUUGAGGCAUGCCGGACCUAUUUUUUUUAUCAUGGCUGUGCAAAUCUUUGCCAUGUGGCCUGCCUCCCCGCACCUGAAGCACUUAAUGGGUGUCCGCUUUGUGUUGGGGCCUUCAUACCCCCUAAGCGUUCCUCCUUUGGUUGCUGCUGGAGGGCCUUCCUUGCGCUGCUCUUGUGGGGCUCUACCAUUGGGGUUCUGUUGGGGUUCCUCCUGCCUGGCCCCCUGUAUAAUGGGCUGGUUGUUUUGAGCGGAACCUCCUCUUCCCUGGAAACCUCUGGUCUGGUUGUUGUUCCACCUGUUUCCAAUAUUCACCCUGGGUUGCUCCCUGUGGGUCCUCCUCAGGUCUUGGUUUUCAGUCUCCAGGUUCCUUAGCUUGGAUUCCAGUCGGGCCAUCUGGCUUGUUAACUCCCUCAAUUUCCUGGCACUCCCCUCUUCAUCUUCCAGUUGGCAUCUGGAGUACUCAUCAUCCCUUUCUUCGAUCUGAUGGAGACUGCUCACCAUCACCUCCCAUGGCUCAUUCUGGAGUUGGUGGGCUCUCUGCCACAGGUUUGGACAGAGUCCAGUGAGGAAGAUAUCAGCGACCUCAGUGAUGUUGAGCCUCAGGCCAUCUGAUUCGGCUUCGGAGGCGAGGCUCCGCACUCUAUUCGCAUAUUCCUUCACCUUCUCUCCGGGCCUUUGUCUACAGGAGAAGAAUUUCUUUCUGGCUUCUCUCUUGGGGGCCCUCCUGGAGAAUCUCUGUUCCAGGUUUUCUUUUAAUUCGUUGUAUCCCAGUUUGAUCAGGGAGGCCUGGAGGGCGAACUCUCUCGCAGCUUCUCGAAGGUGAUUGUCCAGGAGGAUCCUCCUCCUAGAAUCAUCCAGGGCUUUCACGUCGUAGACCAGUUCGAAGUCCCGGAUGAACUUGUUGAAUGGUAUGAGCCCAUUCCCCUCAAACUUCUCCAAAUGGUAUAGCGCAGACAGCAACGGCGUCUGGCUGGGGGAGGGGUCAUCUCCAGGGUGCAUGGUUCUCUCUCAGUUUGCUGUCUGAAAUAUUCCAGAUUAGUAGUGGGGAUUGUAGAAGGGAACUUCAUGCAUAAGUGGGGGCAGGGAAUCGAGGGGUGGAAGAUGGGUUCAUGGCCCAAAAGAGAAAGGAAAUUGGAGAGGUACAUGUUCAUUCAUUUGGGUGGAUAAUCGUUUUUAGAUCAAUGCUCUUUGUAGCAUCUAUGUGUUCUUUGUGACUUGCAUAUCUUGGUUUAAAAAAAAAAAAGGUAUGCAAGAAAUGCAAAAAAAAAAAAAAAGGUUAGAGAUAUCUAGAAAUUUCUCCUAUCAAUUUACCUAAUUCCUUAACACGUGCUUGUGUCUAUUGUCACUUAGCGGCUGUUAUUAGAAAUUUCCUUCUUAUAUUUAUACAGUAUGAAGGCAUAGUAGUUAAAGGCUGUAUUUCCAUGAGUUUUCAUCUCUCUUACAACAUGUUGAAACAAAAUUAAAUGGGGUUAUAAGAUCACUGUCUAUGGGGUAACAGGUGCAUAUUGGAUUGGGAAAUGACAAAGUUAUUUCGCCCUUUAAGAUACUAAUUGUGACUGAGUUUUCUGUUGAGUUAUGAUGAUACACUGAGAAUUUGAUAGGUAAUUUAUUUUGCAGGACUGUGCUGCAUUUCAAAGGUUUUGUUUGUUCCUGGGUUAGCAAUUUUUUAUUAUAUAUAAUCUCUCCUUGUUUGUACACUAUAAUUAGCUGAAGAAGUGCUUGCCCGAAAGCUUCCCUUAAUCGCGUUAAUAAAAAAGAGUUGCGGUGAUAUAUGAUUCCCUCUCUGAUUUGUCGAAAUCCGCAAACCGUUUACCAAGAAUAGGGGGUGUAAGAAGGGGUGGUGAGUAUUUACACAGGUAUUAUGAUUCUUAAAUUACAACAUAUAUGUGAUAUCUUGGGACCUCUGGGACCAGUGUUACCUGAUGCUAGACGAACCUCGAUGUCAACUCUACCGUGCAGUCGUGGUGGAAGGCGACACAGCUGGGCCAAAGGUGAAAUAAACAAACAGAGAUUCCACUAAGAAGCGUCUGACGUCAAGAAGGAAUGGGAUGAGCGGAGAGAGAGAUCUUUAGAGCAAGUGUUACCAUGGUGGGAUCUAAGCGCCGACUGCCUAUCCUAGGUUCUCGAUUUAACACCAAGACCUAUCUUCUUUCCCAUUGGUCGAAAGGUGUCACGUGGCCGUUUUCUAUUGGCUGACCUAAUUAGGUGUUACCUUCUAAUUGGUCCUUGCUGAUUUCUUUGUCGGAAGACAUGUUCGGCCUUGCCCAGGAAAUACUGGUCGUUAAGCUCAACUUUUAUGAUUUCCGCGAUCAUAAAAUUGUCUGUAAUUUUAUUAAUAGUGGUGCUG
This 4486-nucleotide non-coding RNA is filed under the name Cordylochernes scorpioides. Lineage: Eukaryota; Metazoa; Arthropoda; Arachnida; Pseudoscorpiones; Chernetidae. The record is from RNAcentral.